GGUUAAGCGACUAAGCGUACACGGUGGAUGCCUAGGCAAUCAGAGGCGAUGAAGGACGUGCUAAUCUGCGAUAAGCGUCGGUAAGGUGAUAUGAACCGUUACAACCGACGAUUUCCGAAUGGGGAAACCCAGUGCAAUCCGUUGCACUAUCGUUUGAUGAAUACAUAGUCAAACGAAGCGAACCGGGGGAACUGAAACAUCUCAGUACCCCGAGGAAAAGAAAUCAACCGAGAUUCCCCUAGUAGCGGCGAGCGAACGGGGAGCAGCCCAGAGUCUUAAUCAGCAUUAGCAUCAGGAGAACGGUCUGGAAAGUCCGGCAGUAAAGGGUGAUAGCCCCGUAUCCGAAGGUGUUAGUGUUGUGAGAAGGUGUUAGUGUUGUGAAC
This 383-nucleotide ribosomal RNA is filed under the name Providencia rettgeri. RNAcentral describes it as "partial 23S ribosomal RNA". It matches the Rfam family "Bacterial large subunit ribosomal RNA", at positions 1 to 425 of the family's 2925-position model. Lineage: Bacteria; Pseudomonadati; Pseudomonadota; Gammaproteobacteria; Enterobacterales; Morganellaceae. The record is from RNAcentral.